Molecule: long non-coding RNA, 1163 nt
Organism: Sphaerodactylus townsendi
Lineage: Eukaryota; Metazoa; Chordata; Lepidosauria; Squamata; Sphaerodactylidae
Exons: 3
Source: RefSeq, a predicted model, not a curated record
UUCUGCUCUGGCUCCCCCCACUGUUCCAAUAAUAAUGGUAUGUCCUGCCGCAAAGCACAUCGGGAGCUAAGCGGCUAGGGGGCGUCCCUUGUCCUCGUGGCACCGGCCGCAAUCUACUGAAGAGGCUGCAAUGGUGGCAAGGGAUGCAGCAGGAAAAGUUCACCAACAGUUUUGGAUGACAAUUUUUACGUAUCAGAAUAUAGACAAACAUGAAGCUGACUUGAAAGAAGCAACUUUCGGUGCUCGAGUCCUGUCCUAGCACCAUAAUGGAGUACUUGGUUUAGAGAUGCUGAGAUGAAUUUGCCAAAGCUGAUGUGAAACCAGAAAACCAAAAACAAAUGAACACAUGACAAAACCAAGUAGCUUUUCCCACACAAACAUAACCAAAUGAAACAUCAACAGUGAUUGUUAAAUUGGCUAUAAAUUCUGCUGUGCUGAAAGCAUCUUUUGAGGUAACUUUACCUAUAGCAAAACCUCACAUUAUACCUGAAGCCUAUUAAUGUAACAACAAACGAUGGUUUGUAUUGUCAAAGGCUUUCAUGGCCAGAAUCAACUGGCUGUUGUGGGUUUUAUGGGUUGAGUGGCCACUGUCUGGUAGUUUUUGCUUGUAACAUUUCACCCUUGUUUAUGACUGGCAUGUUAAAUCAAGGUAUGUUAAAUCAAGAUAUACCUUUGAAGAUGCCAGCCAUAUAUGCGAAUGAAAUGUGCUAGUUACAGGACAAUAUACAUCUGGCUUAAUACACACUGUUGUGGGGAUGUGGGCAGAUGAUAGAAUAUCUUUUCAGAAGACUGCAGGGGGUGACUUACAGGCAUACAUUUAGCUGUAGUUAUUGUGAUAUAAAGAUGCAGAUUUGCUCAAUGGCCAACAAUUAUAGAAAUAUACAUUCUGAUGUUGUAGGUGGUAUUUACACUACAGAUCUUUUGGGUUGUAGUAUAGGAAAUGCAGGGCAAGAUCUGAUAGAAGUAGGAACAGUCAACAAUGUUAAAACUUUUCUGCUACAUUAGAAUUACCAUCUACCCAUAGACAGCCAAAAGCUGGUAAGCAUGAAAUCCAGCAGAGAUCAGUUAGAAAAGUACAAGGUAAUUAGAAAAUGAAUGCAAAAAUAUAAACUAUGAUUUGGAAACUUAUGUUCUGUCCAUUGAAUAAAUAUAAAAGUGCUUAA